RNAcentral lists this ribosomal RNA (402 nucleotides) under uncultured bacterium. Its description in RNAcentral is "bacterial SSU rRNA". It matches the Rfam family "Bacterial small subunit ribosomal RNA", at positions 355 to 774 of the family's 1533-position model. The record is from RNAcentral.
UAGGGAAUUUUGCGCAAUGGGGGAAACCCUGACGCAGCAACACCGCGUGAAUGUUAAGCCCUUCGGGGUGUAAAGUUCUGUCAGUAGGGACGAAAUUUGACUGUACCUACAAAGGAAGCACCGGCUAACUCCGUGCCAGCAGCCGCGGUAAUACGGGGGGUGCAAGCGUUGUCCGGAAUCAUUGGGCGUAAAGCGUUCGUAGGCGGUAUAUCAAGUCUGGUGUUAAAGCCCGGGGCUCAACUCCGGUUCGGCACUGGAUACUGGUAAACUAGAAUGCGGUAGAGGUAAGGGGAAUUCCUGGUGUAGCGGUGAAAUGCGUAGAUAUUAGGAGGAACACCAGUGGCGAAGGCGGCUUACUGGACGAUCACUGACGUUGAGGCUCGAAAGCGUGGGGAGCAAACA